RNAcentral lists this long non-coding RNA (419 nucleotides) under Homo sapiens (human). RNAcentral describes it as "non-protein coding lnc-MPPE1-1:3". Lineage: Eukaryota; Metazoa; Chordata; Mammalia; Primates; Hominidae. The record is from RNAcentral.
AUUCCCUGGGGCGGCGUGGAAGGGAGGCAGCACCUCCAGGCGACAAGUAGAGCUGGGCCCUGGCGGGCUGCCACGGGGGUGUCUGGCAGUCUCUCCUGGGUCUAGGGCUGUUCCUCUGAGGUCACGAGGUGGUCCUUCGGUUGGGAAGAUAAAACCAGCACGUGUAAUGUAAUACAUGACAAUGGAAGAUUCUACGUAAUUAAGGGUUAACUCUGAAAUCAGAAGACAAGUUUUCCAAGACUUGGGAAGGUGGAGAGAUCAGAGAUCAGUGAGAGAACAAAGAAUCGGGAGGUCACACGCCACCUGCGGAUGGAGGAGACACACGCAGACAAGACAGGCCCCCCGCCACUGUUGGCACACAGGACACCCACCCAGCCUAUGGUCCUGUCUGUGGUUGGACAACAUAAUCAGAAUAACAG